RNAcentral lists this long non-coding RNA (228 nucleotides) under Lathyrus oleraceus (garden pea). RNAcentral's name for it is "Pisum sativum (pea) long non-coding RNA (PSAT_LNC026239)". The record is from RNAcentral. Lineage: Eukaryota; Viridiplantae; Streptophyta; Magnoliopsida; Fabales; Fabaceae.
CUCCCUCUCGCAGGCUUGAUACUGGGUGUCAGAGAGGUGUUUCUUCUUGAUGAACAAGCUAUCAAUAGUCCCCUUCAAUGUGUCACCUACCUUCCUCCUUUUGAACUACUCUUUUUGGGCUUCCUCCAUCGCUUGGGAUGUCAUUUCUCUCUUCUGGUUGAGGUUAAGCUCCAAGUCUUCCUUCUCUCUCGUAAGCCUACCAAGAUUAGAUCGGAGAUCAUAGUUCUU